RNAcentral lists this transfer RNA (69 nucleotides) under Ezakiella massiliensis. It matches the Rfam family "tRNA". Rfam says of the family: Transfer RNA (tRNA) molecules are approximately 80 nucleotides in length. Lineage: Bacteria; Bacillati; Bacillota; Tissierellia. The record is from RNAcentral.
UGACGUGGCUCAGUUGGUAGAGCAGCUGAUUCGUAACCAGCAGGCCGGAGGUUCAAGUCCUCUCGUCAG